GAUUGCUAUAUGGGAGAACAUUAUAUAUUAUCUCCCUAAAAUACUUUUGGAUUACUCUUUCCCUGGUUUGGGGUUAUUUCCUCAUAUGCAUGCACCAAUCAGUAGUCUGAUGAAUACUUGAGAGAGACCCUUUACAGAUCUUGCCAGUAUAUCUUUGUAGGUACUUGAAGAGAAUGUGAGAAUGUCUCGCCUUAGUUGAUGAAAAGCUUUAUUCUUGACUGGGACUUGGCAGUCCUGUUUACCACAUUUCCUGUGUUUGGGCCAUAACUGCCAACUUUCAGGGUAGGAUGAAGAUGGGUUGGCAGUUUCUGCAAAAUUGUUGAAUGACUAAUUAGAAAUGCCAAUUGCCUUUUCUCUCUGAAGAACACCAUUGUUUAGGGUAGUGAUCUUUUUUUCCCCCUCAUAUUUCAUUUGAUUAUCUUUCAAUUAAUUUUCCUAGACCAAAUAUAUUUUACUUAUGUAUUAAGAAUAUUUUUUUAAAAAAAAUAAUCAGAACAAAAUAACACCCACCAAACAUUACCAUCUGCAUCACUCAGUCCAUGUUCUGGCUGUCUGCCUAUGGGCUGUGGGAUGGCAUGGCCAGGACUUGCAAAGGCCUAGACCUGAAUGGGCAGGAAGGCCCUGGGAAUGAGCCCACCACCUUCCUCUGCAGCCUGACCAUGUGCCUCUUCUCUUAAGCUGCCAUGUACCAUGUGUCUGUCUUCCUCUCCAGAUCAGCAGGAAGAGCCAAUCCCAGUCCCUUCAGGACGAGACGUUCUGGUGUUCAGUCUUGUUUCUUUUGCCUCAACUCCUAUCCAGAUUUUUCUCUCAGAAUCCCACAGACUGAGUCUCCAGUGUUUGUUUGUUUUUCCUUUUGUCUUGUUAUUUGUACUCCCUGUACCUACUUUAUUCUGUUUUACCCAUAUUUGUGCCACUUAAAUCAGCCCUGUAGAACUUUGAGCUCAUCUUGUUGUUUUUCUUUCAGUUGUGACUGCCAGUCACCUCUUCCACUCAUCUCUACUGCUCCCCACCCACCCCCAUCUUUUUUU
RNAcentral lists this long non-coding RNA (1028 nucleotides) under Marmota monax (woodchuck). The record is from RNAcentral. Lineage: Eukaryota; Metazoa; Chordata; Mammalia; Rodentia; Sciuridae.